RNAcentral lists this long non-coding RNA (716 nucleotides) under Pavo cristatus (Indian peafowl). RNAcentral's name for it is "lncRNA (ENSPSTG00000007501.1)". The record is from RNAcentral. Lineage: Eukaryota; Metazoa; Chordata; Aves; Galliformes; Phasianidae.
CCAGAACACAGCACUUCUAAGACAUGCUAUGGUUACCCUGCUUUCUGAUUCCAAGAGCAACCUAACUAAACCUUCAAACCUGGCACCAGGUGCUGGCACCAGACCGUGCCAGUAACUCUAUAUAAACAGGAGGGGAAACAACUGUUUACAUGCGUUGAUAAUGACAGGACAAGGGGGAAUAGUUUUAAACUGAGACAGGGGAGGUUUAGGUUAGAUAUUAGGAGGAAGUUUUUCACUCAGAGGGUGGUGACGCACUGGAACAGGUUGCCCAAGGAGGCUGUGGAUGCCCCAUCCCUGGAGGCAUUCAAGGCCAGGCUGGAUGUGGCUCUGGGCAGCCUGGUCUGGUGGUUGGCGACCCUGCACACAGCAGGGGGUUGGAACGAGAUGAUGAUUGUGGUCCUUUUCAACCCAGGCCAUUCUAUGAUUCUAUGACUAAGAACAAGACACGACACACAGCCCUUCAGCAGUCGUGCUGCAGACAGAUCUGCAGAGAGAGACCAAAGCAACAACUCGGAAGAAUGAAGAUCUUCACUCAACCCCAAGAAAGGAAGGAUCGUAGCAGAGACCUCCAGCUCUUCCCUACACCACAGUACACCUCAGUCUUGCACUCUGCAUACCAAGGAUGAAACCACUGAUGUGUGCAGGCACUGAAGUCCCGAAGGUAAUCCUACAAGAAAACGUGAUGGUGUCCUCCAUCACUGUGCUGAGAUACUGUU